This is a non-coding RNA of Pelobates cultripes (western spadefoot toad), 245 nucleotides long. NCBI's taxonomy places the organism in Eukaryota, Metazoa, Chordata, Amphibia, Anura, Pelobatidae. The record is from the annotation of a GenBank genome assembly.
CAAAAAUGUCUCAGACUGUACAUUGUUCGAAUUUGGCAGGAAAGCAAUUUAGGAUACUGAAUAGAUGGUAUUUUGUUCCCACCAUAUUAGCAAAGCUCUCUGUGUUGCAUUCUUCAACUUGUUGUAGGUGCAACAGUCAGCUAUGUUCUUUACUCCAUAUCUGGUAGGAAUGCAAUAUGAUUAAAACACUGUGGAGCGAGGCCUUUUGAUGCUUGGAGAAGUUAAUAGAGAAACAGAUAUGCAAG